RNAcentral lists this long non-coding RNA (255 nucleotides) under Mytilus galloprovincialis (Mediterranean mussel). Lineage: Eukaryota; Metazoa; Mollusca; Bivalvia; Mytilida; Mytilidae. The record is from RNAcentral.
GCCUCACAAUUUCUCAUGCAGUGAAAUAUCAUCUAUGUCCAUCUUAUUGCUAGUUUUAGUUAACAACAACGGCCAAAGCACUAUGUUUUGUCAGAGUAGGUUUUACAUGUUCUAAAUGCUGAUUGGAUGAAUUGGUGGUGUGACACCACGCUGAGGAACCGUUUUACUCUAAGUCCAAAAUCGAACACAUGUAUUGAGUUAUCCAUUACGAUAUUAUUUUCGUUGCAAUUUUAGAAAUUACUUUGAAAAAACUAU